AGCGAACGCUGGCGGCAGGCCUAACACAUGCAAGUCGAACGAAGUCUUCGGACUUAGUGGCGGACGGGUGAGUAACACGUGGGAACGUACCUUUUGGUUCGGAACAACUCAGGGAAACUUGAGCUAAUACCGGAUAAGCCCUUCGGGGGAAAGAUUUAUCGCCAUUAGAGCGGCCCGCGUUAGAUUAGCUAGUUGGUGAGGUAAAGGCUCACCAAGGCUACGAUCCAUAGCUGGUCUGAGAGGAUGAUCAGCCACACUGGGACUGAGACACGGCCCAGACUCCUACGGGAGGCAGCAGUGGGGAAUCUUGCGCAAUGGGCGAAAGCCUGACGCAGCCAUGCCGCGUGAAUGAUGAAGGUCUUAGGAUUGUAAAAUUCUUUUACCAGGGACGAUAAUGACGGUACCUGGAGAAAAAACCCCGGCUAACUUCGUGCCAGCAGCCGCCGUAA
Molecule: ribosomal RNA, 449 nt
Filed under: uncultured bacterium
Lineage: Bacteria
Description: partial 16S ribosomal RNA
Rfam family: Bacterial small subunit ribosomal RNA
Source: RNAcentral